This 467-nucleotide unclassified non-coding RNA is filed under the name Hevea brasiliensis (rubber tree). Lineage: Eukaryota; Viridiplantae; Streptophyta; Magnoliopsida; Malpighiales; Euphorbiaceae. The record is from RNAcentral.
UAAUUUGAUCCAAGUUUGCGUGGGUGAUGAUCAAGAAAAAUUUGGACAGAAUUGAUGGAUAGUUAUGCAAGUUUAGUGUCUUUUUUUCAUCUAGGACAAAUCUGAAUAGUUUUAUUUAAUUUUUUUUUUGUCAGAUAUGUGUUUUGGGCCUUACUUAUGUGUUUUUGGGCCUUAAGUAGGAGUGCAGCCCACUCCAGGUUUUUUAUUAGUUUUAGGGUUUUAUUUAUUUUUUUUAAGUUUAGGGAAUUAGGGUUUCAACCGCAUAUAUAAGGCUAACUUAAUACUUUUUGAGGGGAACAUUACUUUUGAUUAAAUUAAUACAAGAGAGAGAUUUUUCCUAAGUUCUUUCUUAAACUAAAUUAAAUUCUUCAAGAGUGAUUAAUCUUGUAGGAUUUAACAAUUUUUGAUAAUCUUAGUUCUUGUUUGAUUAUAAAUUUUGGGUUAAGAAUCCUUAAUUCUACCUUUGA